UAUUGAUGCUAACAUUUCUAGAAAUUGUGAUGCAAGAGAGAACUGGAACGAGAAAUUCUUCCUCCUUUUCUUUUGGCCGUAUGUGCUCCUGAGUUGUUUGCUCGUUCCUUCAUAGUUAGCAUAAGACGUACGGAGAGAAUUGGGGGCAGCCUGCUGUAUUCGUUCAGUUUUGUUUCCAAAUAUGCAGUGCUCGAGUACGAGACGCUGAAUUAUGUGGUUCUUCACUAGAAUUCGGUUGGUGCCCUUAUGUUUCAGGACUGGAAAUGUUCCGAGAAGGAUGUUGAUGAUCUUCUAUUGAUUGAUCUGAUUUUAACUUGAAUCUAUCAAGAAGGCUUUUCAGAAGAAAAAAGAUAGAAAUAUGCAAUUGCCAAAGUCUCCUAGACGCAACUAAUAAUAAAUAUACCGCUUCUUUGGUCCAAUUGUUGAUUUGAUGCGGACUUUACGUGUUUUUCUUCAUUUGAGUCCGCAGUCGCAGGCUCCCGCCCCGCAGGCCCCGCGCCCGCCGUCCCGCAGCCGCAGGCUCCCGCGCCCGCCGCCCCGCCGCCGCAGGCCCCGCGCGCCGCCGCCCGCAGCCCCGUCCGCCACACCUAAAAUUUUUGGCGUCCUCCGCCACUGGUCAGACUAGUGCCUGCUGCUUGAAAACAUGGAAUUGGAAGACGAACCAUCCGCCAGUCCAGGACCACUUCCAUCCUCUCCCUUUUGGCGAAACUACACACUCCCUGUUUCCCUAAGAAAAAUGGCUAAAUGUAACUACAAAAAUUACUCCCGGCCCGGCCCGCCCUUCUGAUGUAUUAGUAGAUUAUGACUGUGCAGCAGUAGCGAUGUCAGUUUAAUCCUGCCGUCGUACGUAGAUCGAUGUGGCGACCAAGGACCGGCAUGCGGUUAAACUAUUGCUGGCGUUAAUCUGCAACCAGCUAGCUAGCUUUUGCCGCAGUGCAAGUCGAGACGCACAAGAGCCCCAACUAGCUGCACAACCAUGCAACGCUGGCUGGGGAACGGGGAUGACCCUGACGCUGAGGUACGGCCGGCCCCCCGUCACAGCUAGCCAGGGGCUUGGCAGCCGGCCGGUUCGAACGACAAAUCAGUAUCAUUUUUCUUUUGCAUG
Panicum hallii is the source of this 1105-nucleotide long non-coding RNA. RefSeq lists it as uncharacterized. The transcript has 3 exons. NCBI's taxonomy places the organism in Eukaryota, Viridiplantae, Streptophyta, Magnoliopsida, Poales, Poaceae. The record is from RefSeq and is a predicted model, not a curated record.